UCUUUGCAUUUGUGUGACUGCUGGGUUCAAUAACCAAAGCCAAAUUGGAAAUGCCUAUGGGACAGCUGUGGUGAUUGUCAUGCUGGUAACCACAUUGCUUAUGGCUCUAAUCAUGAUACUUGUGUGGCGCUGCCAUUGGAUUCUUGUCCUGCUUUUCACAGGCUUAUCACUGGUUGUGGAAUGCAUUUACUUUUCUGCUGUACUCUUCAAAGUUGAUCAAGGUGGGUGGGUUCCCCUUGUGAUUGCUGCAGCCUUUCUUGUCAUCAUGUAUGUGUGGCAUUAUGGUACGGUGAAAAGGUAUGAAUUUGAGAUGCAUAGUAAGGUUUCUAUGGCAUGGAUUGUUGGGCUUGGCCCCAGCCUAGGACUGGUAAGAGUUCCUGGAAUUGGACUUGUGUACACCGAGUUAGCAAGUGGGGUUCCCCACAUCUUUUCUCACUUCAUCACAAAUCUACCUGCUAUCCAUUCUGUUGUUGUUUUUGUAUGCGUUAAGUACCUUCCCGUCUACACAGUUCCUGAAGAAGAGAGAUUCCUGGUCAAGCGUAUUGGACCAAAGAAUUUCCACAUGUUCCGUUGCGUUGCAAGGUAUGGCUAUAAAGACUUGCAUAAGAAAGAUGAGGAAUUUGAGAAAAAACUCUUCGAUAACCUCUUCUUGUUUGUCCGGCUUGAGUCUAUGAUGGAAGGGUGUUCAGACUCAGAUGAGUAUAGUUUAUAUGGUCAGCAAACUCAGCAAUCAAGAGAAGCCCUGUUGAAUGAUCAUAAUGGAAAUACAACUUCUUCUGCAGUAGAUUCCAUAAUUUCAUCUGUAGAUUCAAUCGUGCCCAUUAAGUCACCUGUAAAUCCAAAUUAUACCGUUGCGUCAUCAGGUCAAACAAGCAGCAGCCAAAUGGAGGUUGAUGAGUUAGAAUUUUUGAAUAGUUGCAGGGAUGCUGGGGUGGUGCACAUACUAGGGAAUACGGUGGUGAGAGCAAGGAGGGAUUCAAGGUUCUACAAGAAGAUAGCUGUUGAUUAUAUUUAUGCGUUUCUUAGGAAGAUAUGUAGGGAGAACAGUGUGAUUUUUAAUGUUCCUCAUGAGAGUCUCUUGAAUGUGGGACAGAUAUUCUAUGUAUAAUUUUUUUU
RNAcentral lists this unclassified non-coding RNA (1116 nucleotides) under Hevea brasiliensis (rubber tree). Lineage: Eukaryota; Viridiplantae; Streptophyta; Magnoliopsida; Malpighiales; Euphorbiaceae. The record is from RNAcentral.